This 984-nucleotide long non-coding RNA is filed under the name Chinchilla lanigera (long-tailed chinchilla). RNAcentral describes it as "lncRNA (ENSCLAG00000026842.1)". The record is from RNAcentral. Lineage: Eukaryota; Metazoa; Chordata; Mammalia; Rodentia; Chinchillidae.
UCUUUCUCUCCCUCCCUGUUCCUCCCCUUCCUCGUCGCGGUUCUCCUCCCCCAGUUCUCUUCUUCCGCUCCGGCCUCCUCUCUCCCUCGCUUUCUCCUCCCACUCCGACUCUCUCCUGCCCUUCUUUUUCCCGUUCCCCUCUGCUUGCCGGGAUCGGAAUUCUGCCCCGACCUGCUUGUCCCGGGAGCCGCGGCGGCUCCCUGCCGGAGCUUCCAGGACCGCGGGACCUGCGGGGCCAUCUUUAUCUACGAGAGAUAGAAAUCCUCACACAUUUUAUGAAGACGAGCGUGUGUCCUUGAGGCAUGAUGUAAGAGAGUUGGAGGGUGGGGUUGCUGAUGAAUCUCUGAACAAGGUUAUGGCUUUGCUUUCUUGCCUCAGUUACUGUGUUCCUCCUGGAUAUGGACCGACUAGAAGGCAGUUGACUGGUAGUUGAGCUGGCCAUGUAUACAUCAGUUGCCUACAUGGUAGCUCAGGUGACAGGGAGGGGGUACACUUGCAGUGGGGAAGUACCAAGCUGUAUCAUGUAUGGCAAGAGUGUGGUUUGUCUCACAUGGGUUUGUAUGCUCCAAGUUUGGCUCCUAGCGGGGUGAUGCUGAGAAGUAGUUGGACCUUUAAAAUUUUAAGGCAUAGUAGAAGGUGGUUGUUAGGGCUUAUAUCUAAAUGUACCGCCCCCAAAGGCUCAUAGGUGGGGUUUGGAGAAAUGGUUGGAUCAUGCGGGUGUGAUACUUAUCAGGGGAUUAGUCUACUGGUGAGUUCAUAGUGAAAGGUGAUUAGGAAGAUGAAGUCUGGUUGGAGGAUGCAGGUUGCUGGAGCUGUAGCCUGGAAGAAUAUACCAGCCUCACACUUCCCUUGAUCUCUCCGUUUUGCAGCCUUGCCAUGAGCAAGGCUCAUCUUCCAUGCCCCUCUGCCACGCCACCCUGUUUGGAGCCAGCCAACUGUGGGCUGAAACCUCUACAAACUGUGAACCAAAAUAAACCUUUCCUG